This 441-nucleotide ribosomal RNA is filed under the name Paravoca sp. CG222. RNAcentral's name for it is "partial 16S ribosomal RNA". Lineage: Eukaryota; Metazoa; Arthropoda; Arachnida; Araneae; Amaurobiidae. The record is from RNAcentral.
UUCUAAUAGAACUUAUUAUUAGUAAAAUCUGCUCAAUGAAUAUUAAAUAGCCGCAAUAUACUUGUGCUAAGGUAGCAUAAUCAUUUGUCUUUUAAUUAAAGACUAGAACGAAAGAUUCAACAUUUUAAUUUCUAUUUAAAAAUAAUAUUUAAAAUUUAUUUUAAAUAUUAAAAAAUAUUUAUUUUUAAAAAAGACGAUAAGACCCUAUUGAACUUAACUUUAGUUAAACUGGGGUAGUUAAUUAAUUAUUAUUUUAAUAAAAAUUCAAAAUUAAAUGAUCUGAAAAUUUCAAUUCUUUAAUCAAGUUACCAUAGGGAUAACAGCGUAAUAAUUUUUCAAAGAUCUUAUUUAAAAAAUAGAUUACGACCUCGAUGUUGAAUAAUUAACCUAUUAAAUGCAAUAAUAUAACAAGGAAGUCUGUUCGACUUUUAAUUAAUUACA